UAACCACUCAAGCCUCGGCUUGGUCUUGGGGUUCGCGGUCUCGCGGCUCUUAAAAUCAGUGGCGGUGCCGUCUGGCUCUAAGCGUAGUAAUUCUCUCGCUAUAGGGUCCAGGUGACCACCUGCCAGAACCCUCCAUUCUUUAC
RNAcentral lists this unclassified non-coding RNA (143 nucleotides) under uncultured Helotiales. Its description in RNAcentral is "sequence contains ITS2". Lineage: Eukaryota; Fungi; Ascomycota; Leotiomycetes; Helotiales. The record is from RNAcentral. RNAcentral also lists the same sequence under 1 other name.